Megalobrama amblycephala (Wuchang bream) is the source of this 1110-nucleotide long non-coding RNA. RefSeq lists it as uncharacterized. Lineage: Eukaryota; Metazoa; Chordata; Actinopteri; Cypriniformes; Xenocyprididae. The record is from RefSeq and is a predicted model, not a curated record. The transcript is spliced from 3 exons.
UGCAUGUAUAGAGUCAUUAAAUUUGAAUUUGGAAAGCACAAUAUAUAUUGUUAUCAGCCCUUACAAGCCUUUAUUAUUGGUAUAUUGGAAGCAGGCUUGUUACCCAUCUCUCUGAUUGUGAUUUGCCAAUGGUGUUUUAUCUGUAACUAAUGACUCUAAACUGCUUAAUGGAUGGUUGUGUUGGUCUGGUGAGGUGAGGUGCUGUACUAGUUUCACAUGUCUCAUCCUUCCAAAAUUUCUUUCUUCUCCCUUAAUAAAAUCAUCUACACUGUGAUAUUUAGGGUGCGUUCACACUUGGCAUAUUUUUUUCGAUAAAAAUUAAAUUUGGUUUGGCCACCAAGGUUUGGAUGGCAGCGUUCACAUAUGCUUCUAAACGAACUCUGGUACGGUUUGAAUGGUAUAUGAACAUAGUUUGGACAAAAAACAUGUAAACAAACCAAAAACAGAAAGAUGAGACCCUAUAAAAGGACAGUUCUGGAUGUUCGGUAAGUUCUCGCUCAAAAUAGGCAAUAUGUCAUAAAUGCCAACCAAUCAGAUUGUGAAUGUGUCCGUGUGCCUAGGUUCGGUAUCGUUUCGUUUGGUGAGUGAUAAGUGAAUCAGGACUAAAUGUUUUUUUUUUUGUUGUUGUUGUUUUUUGGUCAGGACCAAACAAACCAAGCAAAACAAACUACAAGUGUGAACACACCAUUAAUGUUCAUCUAUUAAUCGAUCUGGACCAAACGAACCAAGCAAAAGAAAAACUACAAGUGUGAACACACCCUUAAUGUUCAUCUAUUAAUCGAUCUGAGAUUCUGUACUCUUUCAGAAGAUGUAAUAGCGCCCCCUACCAUAUAACAGUGAAAACACCAAUUGCUGGAAAAUUCUGUCACUGGUGGGGAAGGAGUUAAAAUAAUUGGCUUGUUGACAAGAAAUACCUCUGGGUGUGACAUACUGCUGUGAAAAACUCAAAAGACCAUAACUACACAUUUUGUCACAACUGAAUUUUGAUUGAUGGGUUUGGCUUAACUAUGCUCAAUAAUGUCAAUAAUAAUAAAAUCUGAAGACAGUUCCAGUGUUGCUGGUUUCUGCUAUUUAUGGUCAGAUACCCUGUAUCAAAAAUUUUCUAGUGAA